RNAcentral lists this ribosomal RNA (459 nucleotides) under uncultured bacterium. Its description in RNAcentral is "partial 16S ribosomal RNA". It matches the Rfam family "Bacterial small subunit ribosomal RNA", at positions 339 to 795 of the family's 1533-position model. The record is from RNAcentral.
CCUCGGGGGGCAGCAGUGAGGAAUAUUGGUCAAUGGGCUUACGCCUGAACCAGCCAAGUAGCGUGAAGGAUGACUGCCCUACGGGUUGUAAACUUCUUUUAUAAAGGAAUAAAGUGAGGCACGUGUGCCUUUUUGUAUGUACUUUAUGAAUAAGGAUCGGCUAACUCCGUGCCAGCAGCCGCGGUAAUACGGAGGAUCCGAGCGUUAUCCGGAUUUAUUGGGUUUAAAGGGAGCGUAGAUGGGUUGUUAAGUCAGUUGUGAAAGUUUGGGGCUCAACCGUAAAAUUGCAAUUGAUACUGGUAGUCUUGAGUACAGUUGAGGUAGGCGGAAUUCGUGGUGUAGCGGUGAAAUGCUUAGAUAUCAAGAAGAACUCCGAUUGCGAAGGCAGCUUACUAAACUGCAACUGACAUUGAUGCUCGAAAGUGUGGGGAGCAAACAGGAUUAGAUACCCUUGUAGUC